CGGGAAUUGCAGGGAGGAGCUUCUCCGCCAUUGCUGCCCCGAGGCGGCCGCGCUGCUGGGAGACGGCGGCGGCUCCUCGCUCCUCUUUCCUCCGAACAGAUAGAAUAGAAGGCCUCUUCCUGUAGAAGCUACAGGUUUCUCCUGUCAUGGGAUUCCUCUAUGGCCUCACAACAUAAUUUUGAAUGCUCUGUCAAGAGAUGGACUCCACUGUGACUGGACAGGAGCUACCAUGAUCCAUCUGGUGUCCUGCUUCCAGCUGGAGGAGUGCAACUCUCAGUAUAUUGGCUCUGGCCUGAGCACACACUGCAGGUAACUGUGUUAGCCUGGAGACUGAGGCACAGCCAGGAAGAAAUCCUGCUGUGCCCUGGGGCAGACAGACAACCCCACUGGGACACUCAAUCCCUGACCCAGGUUCCUCAGAUUAGUCCAAGUGAAUGAGAAUGAAAAUUAGGACAAAACUGACCAAACAUCAGAGAGUCUGGCAGUAAUUUAGGCAGACACUAAGGUGUAAAAGGGGUGAUUCUCCUUUAUUACGUGGGGAUAACCACUGGCCAUGCUGACACGGGCUGUGCAGGGAUUGACAGCUUGGAGUCUCCAUGUCAGUAGGCUGCACAAAGCCUUAAUUUUGCUUGUGCAAAAUUAACUCUCAAAAAUAUUUUCUUUUUCUUCUAGUGUAAUUAGACAAGUUAUUACAGAACUAGUCAUGUUGCUCAUCACUCUCGGCAAAAAUCCAUCUCUGUUUUUAGCAGGGCUUCUACAUUUCAUAUGCUAGUGCUCUGGGAUGCUCAUCUCCCUAGGAAGAUGAUGCAAAAAAAAGAUUAUUCCUUUCCCUCACAAACACUUCAUCUAAAUAAAGUAGCACUAUCAUGAGCUUUUGCUUUAGGAGAUGAACCAAAUCUGUAUCUCCAAUUUUCAGUAUUUCCAUCAGGACACUUUUAGCUGAUUUAAAAAACAUACCACAGAGACUUUCUAAGUUUUUAUUAAUUCUCCUAAGGAUGUGAAACUACAUGUGCUGGCAGGUCCACUGAGACAUCAGCAACUCCUUCCACUCAGCUAACAGCUUUCCUGAAGAGAAAAGCAGAUCAAUAAAGAGAAAACAAAUUAGAAAAUCACAUUAGUUCAACAGCCUCCUCAAGGGUAUGGUUGUCUUUUGGGAUGGACAGGAGUGUUGGGAGAAACGUCAGGUUGAGAGAUUGAAAGCAGAUGCAGAGGGGAAGAGAAGUGCUAAAUUGCUGACACUCCUGGAGUGAGCAAAGAAGUGGAGUCAUUGUCUCACUCAUUCCUGCCAUCCCCAACCUGUUCCUGCACUCCAGCGUGCCCUGACUGCCUGCCCACAUCACGGGAUGUAGCUCAGGCUCUUCCAACUAAUGCUGCCCAUCUGGAAAAGGUUUUGCCCAUGCUUUUCUCCUAUUGUCUUGAUUAACAGGAAAAGAUGGACGGAUGGACAAACAGAUAAAAAUUUGUAGUCCAUAUACUCACCUGUUGGUUCUGAGUAAAAAAAUAAUCCAUGUAGAUGAACCACCAGGAGUGAAGGAUAAACACUGGACAUUAAACAUGAGACUGACUGGCCAUUAAAUAAAAGAUGUCAUAUACAAGAAGUGUUAUUUCAGAAUUCAGAUUGCUUAGAACUCUUUUUUUCUUUUCCAUAACAUUGAAACGUUUGAGUUCCUGUAAACAGGUUGUUUGCUCUUCCUUUUGGUUUGUCUAUCUUCAGAAGUGUUCUAAUACUUCAAUAAUAUACACACUGCUACUUUAUACCCACAGAUGCUGGUAAGAAGUUUAGAAAAGUAACACACAAAUAAAAUAUUCUAAAUUAAAACCAAGAAAAUUAAGCUAUAUGGUGUGGAAAAGAUAAAUUUGUGUAAGCAUUACAUGGACAACCUUGAAUAUAGAAUAUUUCCUCAACCCAAGCACACUGUAAUGCAUUAAUCCUAUUCUAUGUAUUUGUAUGCUGCUGUCAUAUCUACAAGGAUUCUAUGUAAAUUUUGCCAUAAUAAAAAUUUAUUCUAUAUA
Molecule: non-coding RNA, 2013 nt
Organism: Lonchura striata (white-rumped munia)
Lineage: Eukaryota; Metazoa; Chordata; Aves; Passeriformes; Estrildidae
Source: RefSeq, a predicted model, not a curated record